Molecule: transfer RNA, 72 nt
Filed under: Danionella translucida
Lineage: Eukaryota; Metazoa; Chordata; Actinopteri; Cypriniformes; Danionidae
Also listed under: 1 other name
Rfam family: tRNA
About the family: Transfer RNA (tRNA) molecules are approximately 80 nucleotides in length. Their secondary structure includes four short double-helical elements and three loops (D, anti-codon, and T loops).
Source: Rfam by way of RNAcentral
GACUACAUAGCUCAGUGGUAAGAGCACUGGUCUUGUAACCAGGGGUCGUGAGUUCAAAACUCACUGGAGCCU